This 76-nucleotide transfer RNA is filed under the name Bacillota bacterium. Its description in RNAcentral is "tRNA-Thr". It matches the Rfam family "tRNA". From Rfam's summary of the family: Transfer RNA (tRNA) molecules are approximately 80 nucleotides in length. RNAcentral also lists the same sequence under 2 other names. Lineage: Bacteria; Bacillati; Bacillota. The record is from RNAcentral.
GCUGGGGUAGCUCAAUGGGCAGAGCAGGGGUUUUGUAAACCUCAGGUUGUGGGUUCGAGUCCCAUCCCCAGCUCCA